CUGGCAAGCCUGCCCGCCACUGACGUCACGGCACUGAAAACCAAGAUCAAGUUCAGGCCCCGGUCCAAAGCCAAGCCAAUCCGAUGCACCUCCUGCAGCUUUACCGCCCGCACAAUCACCGAGAUGAGCAUUCACACAAAGACCCACGGCUCCUCCGGCCAGUUCUUCCAAGGCAACCACUUCACUGCCAAGGUCGACUUUCUGCGCCACAUGUUCACCCGCACGGAGGUCACGACGCACAGGUGUUGCCUCUGUCCGACGGAGUUUGCGUCCAGACAGGCUCUCUUGAAGCACCUCAACACUCACGCAAGUGGCGAGACCGGGAAAACAUUCAGGUGUCCUCAGUGCCACGCUGAGGUGCGGUCUCACAACCUUGUGUCGCACGUGCGCUGCCACAUGGGCGAAGCACCUUUCGAGUGCGCCUACUGCCGGCGGACAUUCUUUCGUUCGUGCAAUCUUUCGUAUCACCGCCGCAUUUGCCACCGGGCUGCCAGGCCCUAGGCUCACUGUCUGCGGAAUGCAUGGGGGGGGAUAUCGGGCAUUUGUCGAAAGUGACGCACCAAACAUGGUUUCGAAGCGAAAAAUUGUGUGUGUAGUCGGCGACGAGAACAAACUUGUGCCGCUGCCAAUGUCUGUUCAUGGUGCCACGUGUGGUAUUAUCGUUAUGGAGCAUUCCGAUUCAUUCGCCGAGACCACAUCGCUGCUUUUUUGGGCAUCCGAGCUGAAAGGGGGAAAGAAGAGGAUGUCUGGUACUUCGUGGUUUCUCAAAACUUGGGUCCUAGGAACCCGAGGAUUGGUCGGAGUAGCACCUCCAGGGAUUUCUUGGGCACCUACCCCCUAGAUGAAGUGGUGUCCCAGUUCGAGCGUUGCCGAGCUAAUCCCGACUCGUGAUUACGGACCAAACGGACCUUUCUUUCUGCUUUGUCUCGGUUCAAGCAUUGCUGAGCUAAUCUUUGAUGUGUGGUGCCUGACCAAACAUUCCUUCCUUUCUACUUUGUUUCAGUUCAAGCAUUGUUAAGCUGUUCAUUGGUGCAUGGGUACUGGCCAAGCGUUCCUUUCUUUAGGCUUUGCGUGCGAGAUUUAGCCAGGCGGCUUGUAGGCUUUCCAUAUUCGUAGGAGCUGGUAAGCUCGUUAACCAAAGAGCUGUGUCAAUGUAGAUUACUUUGUGCCUCGAGUGAGGGGCCCGUCGAUUUAUUUCGACUCGUGUCAUAAUUUUGUCUUUCAGUAGGAGACGUUUUGCAUUCGUUGUGUGCUCACCGACUUUGAUGGACUCUGUAUGACGAAUGCAUGCCAACAGUCAUUGGUGCGCACGACCUUGUGGGCCGACGAGCCUACUGCAGCAAAUGCAUUUAAGUUUUAACUCUGUGCUUGAGUCAUUGAGUAACAGUUCACAGUCCCAUAUGAGUACUAUAUGGUGACUCUGAGUUCAAUACAGCGAGGUUGCUAUAGCAUCUCUCUGAAAUUCUGAUUUUUAUGUUCCUUAAUUUUAUCCACUGUUAAUUUUAGCUUAUGUAAGAAAAAACAAAAACCACUGCUUUACAAUUUUUUUGUUUGGUUUAGAUGUUCUUGGUGUGAAGACGUUGCGAGAAUCUUUUGUCGAGCUGCAGAAUUUUCUCCAUUAAUACAUUAUGUUUGUGCAUACUGUUUGUGAUUGCCGUUUCAUUAAUUUAUUCAUUUGUUUAUUUUCCGUGCUCAUGAACAGCUUCACUGACACCUUUGAAAUGCUCUCAGUACUUCGAAAUUGUUUCAAUCUACAUUGUUUUAAGUUUAUCGAGAAGGGUGCAUCUCGACUCUGGAAUCGGCAUUUUUGCAGUGUGUUUAAUGAAACCAUUAUGUGAAAUGUGCACCUGUACUUGAUACGAAGAAGAGAACCCAGCAUUUAAACCCCUCGGGCUGAGGCUGACCUCUUGGAGCGUGCGUUUUGAAACUGGGGUCUUCAGAGUAUCCUCAGGGGUUCUCAAUUUCCAAAUAUACGCAGCCAUCUUUGCCCCUAAGUAAAGUGUUUUUCCAGCGUAAGCACUAUUGUAGAAAAUCCGAGCCAUCUACUGAUGCGUAGCUACGUUUCAAACACUUCUUGGUUUGUGGCAGACAUGUACACAUUACCCCAAAAAAGUAACUAAAUACCGUUACCCUCAAAAAGUAACUACCGUAAAUACGGUUACUCGUUCAAGAAGUAACUGAACACAUUACUCACUCAAAACAAAUGCAUUACAGUAAAAUGGAUAGGUGGGCUAGUUGGUACAUGUUUAACUUGUGAAGCGCCUAAAAACUAGGACACGAGGAACGAGGACGUUGCGGAGUACAUUGAAUGCGCAACGUCAGUUGUUUACGAAAUACCUAUGACUUGUGGAAAAGCAUAGUAUAUAGGGCAAACGGGGAGGUGCAUCAACGAUGGGGCACGCAAGCAUGCCUUAUCUGUUAGAAGUUCCCCAUCAGGUAAUCUAGCAAUUCACUAUGAUAGGUGUCCGUGCGCGCCUAAUCUUGACAAAGCAAAAAAUAGUUGGAAAACUAAAAAACAAAACUGAGAGAGAAUUGUUUGAGGCCUACUGCAUUAGAGUAAAGGGCGAGGAUAGCUGCGUGCACUUAGCUGAGAAAGAGUUUUCCUUUUUGUGUCAGGAGACUGAAUUUUUGUACAAAUAGUAAGUGUAGCAAGUUACUUUGCUCGUUACUUUGACGACCAAAUACACAAUUGCUCUUUUUUUCACGGUUUAUACAGGUUCCUUUUUAGUAGUCGUUGCGUUUAAGCAGUAGCUGCUGCUCAAAGUUUUCAUCAGUAAUGUUUCCCCGCUGCGUCUCGGGCGACGCUGAAGAGUCGUUUUGCUGACGCACUCGAAGGAACGGCAGUGUUGUGCUUCAGAAAGAGCUGGUGUAUCUGGGAUUCCCUUCUCUCUUUUCUCUCUGUUUCUUCCUAGUUGACAGUGAGCUAUAUGCAUUCCCGUGUUGGCAACCUACGGGUUUACAUAUAGUCUGUACACGAUUCUAGAAGGUUCAACCAACGAACCUUAUUGUGUUCUGUAGGUGAAUGACAUUCAUUCCCAGCUGUAGAGUUUGACUGACAUGCUCAGCGAUAAACGUUGCUAUACUGUCAUUCUGUUUAGUUGUUUUUCGGGUUGCCCAUCUGCCUUUGUCACUGUAGACGUGUACUAAGGUUCGGAUGAAAACGAGGCUGUUCAAACGUUGUACAUCUUACUCCUCAAAAGUAACAAAAUACCGCUACUCGUGGUUUCGCCUUAACAAUAACUAUGUUACUGUUUUUUUUGUAAAAAAGUAACUAAACACGUUACUCGUUACCGCAAACAGUAACUAGGUAUAAGUAACUAGUGCAUUACAUACAUGUCUGGUAUGUGAAUUAUUGUUUACGAGGUCUGUUAGCUCUUGCACCGCUUUACUGCACCAAUGCCAAGACCGGGAAGGGUCCUUUGACUUGGAAGAUCCUCCUUAUGUGGGUCGGGGCAAUUCAUGGUGUGCCGUCUUAUGCAAAACAAAAAUUAUUUUGUACGCACUGGUACUUCGUUAUAAUUGCGUGCAUAUUUGUUUCGGGUGAGCCUUGCACAAUACCUCUUUACUUCUUAGUGCCUCUAAACACUGUUUUUGGGAAACUUGGCAAGCUGCCGAAGCUGUGUUUCCAGUGAGCCCAUCAGAGCGUGACAUGUAACUUCACAUCUUUGGAGAGCAGUCGUACGCUUUGCUCCGCCACUCUAGUUGGCUCACUGGGCCAUAGCUUUUACUCUUCGCUAAGCUACGUCAAAACAAAGUAUAGCAGCCGUGGUUUUCGAGGACGUGUUUACUGGUUUAUGCCACAACAGACCCUUCUUGAAAAAUGUGCUCCGUCUGGUAGUUGCUGUUUUAUUUAUCUAAGUCGGCCAUUGUUUGGGCACAUACUUUGCGCAUGUAUUGGGCACGAGGGCUUUGUCAGCGUUUGGCGAGGACUCGGAUCCAAUCGCACGCUUCGUGCCCAAGAAAUGGCGACUGGCAGUGCGUCUUUACAAGGUUUCGAAAAGGGUCUAAGCUGGCGUCCUUGAUUUCGUCUUUACCCUCUAACAAACACAUUUUUGCCUUUCCCCGGUGCAGCCGACGCCGGAUCAAAACGGCAGAUGGCUCGAGCCAAGCCGAAGCCUCUCCUGAAACUUUUCCAGUGCAAGAUCUGCACCUACAUGACUCGCAAGCUGGCCAACAUGCGGCGCCACUUGCAGUCGCACUCUGGCGAGCGUCCCUUUGGCUGCCCCCAGUGCUCUGCGCGGCUCGUGUCCAAGUCGGCGCUCCAGGCCCACCUGCGCACCCACACGGGAGAGAAACCCUUCGAGUGCGACGUCUGCUUGAAGCACUUCACCCAGAAGAGCAGCCUGACCAAGCACCGGCUCAUCCACACCGGGGAGCGGCCCCACAAGUGCCACAUGUGCUCGAUCGCUUUCUCGCAGAAGCAGCACCUCAAGGUGCACAUCCGCUCCCACACGGGCGAGAGGCCGUUUGCGUGCGGGCACUGUCCCAAGUCGUUUGCGCAGAACGACGACCUGGUGAGGCACACCCGGAUCCACACGGGGGAGAGGCCGUUCAAGUGCCCGGAGUGUCCCCGCACGUUCACGCAGUCCACGGGCCUCAAGAGCCACGUGAAGACGCACUGCAGGGAGGCCGUGCACAAGUGCGACCGGUGUUCGCUGGGGUUCAGGACGAAGAACGGGCUGGGAAGGCACAGGGCGAUACAUGACCAGUGAUUUUUCCCACGAUGCUUUCUUUCCGCAUUGUCGUACGGUGUACGGGACCGGUCGGAAUUGAAGUUUAUUUGCCGAGCAUUUUAGAUGUCGAGCUGUAAGGCCCUACAGUCCGUUGCAACUCCAGAACGAAGGGCGAAGGUAAGACGGGCCGGGGAGGAGGAAGCAGACGGAACGCUGAAGAAGAGAGGGGGAACCUACUUCUCUCUUUAGUGUUCCGUCUGCUUCCUCCUUUCCGGCCCGUCUCAUCCUCGCCCUUCGUUCUUGAGUUCCAACUGACUGUAGGUACACGCUUUAUGGAAAUGAGCUUUCCUUAUUUGCAGGUUUUGUGGGACAGAAGUUUUAUCUUGGGGAUACAUAGUAUGAGAAUGUUUCUUACUCUUGCAACAAGCAUUUUUGAUUGUCAAGCUGUAUGGUUCUUUAUUCAAGUUAUCUACUAUUAUUUUUUUGCGAGUUUUGUGGGAUGAGAACAUCAUCCUGGGGGAUAUAGUAUGAGUUUGGUUUUCCUUGCUGGUGGUUUGACUGGGGUCAUCUUGUGAUUCGAUAGAUUGUUAUAAGUAAUGUCGGUGCCUUCGAUGAUCUCGAAGAUUUAUGGGACCACGAAGUUGCGAUUGCUAAUCCAGAGCUCGGGUCGCGGAGUUCCUGUGAGUUUGAACUUACGGAUGUGGUUUAGGUUAGAAGUGAGGGGGCUUCUCUUUUUUAGAAGCCUGUUGCAUCAACUUCCGUGGAUCUAUUCCACCACAAAUGCCGAGGACAUUUUUCGUAGAAUUUAGUUAAUCUGGGCUUUCUUUGCCGGUACAUAAUGAAUAGAAUAUUUUUGUGCUUAAUGUUUUUUAUUGCAGCUAUCUGCUAGGUUGCCCAGUUUCAUAUUUUGCAUUUUCUUUAUACUGUAUAACAUCAUUGAUCGUGUUGCAUUUUGAAAUCUCUACCCAAAAAGGCUGUUACGUUGAAGAAUAAGUGAGCUUCAGUAUGACGUUCACGCUUGUUGAGGCCCAUUCACAGAGUAGUGUUUGACUACGUUGUGAGGACUUGCGCAAAGUUAUGACCGAGUCUCCAGGACAUCCGUGUUUUGGGCGCUGCCUGGUAAUCAGUUCAGAGAGUAGUUUUGCACGUGACAUGGGAAGCAUAGAUGUCUCAAUGGAUUGUGAUCGCGUCUUUCCGUAACAUAAUCGGGUGCAGGUGUGUGAAUUGCCUUUAGUGUUGUCUGCAUUAGCUGUGUUAAGCAUCCUGCCUGUGUGCUUUACAACAUCUUGUAGGCGCCAUAAUAUAUGCAAUAAAUAUGUCGAACAGAAAAGUAUUGGGGUUUGCCCAAAUGAUUUUUCAUAGAACUUGCUGAUAGAGUUAACUCUAAAACUAAAGGAGAGGCAGAUUGCCUUUUUGUUGAGCUUUUGGUUUACACUGGUGUGCCUGAUAUAAAUGUCCUGUUCCCGUCCUCGUCCUCUCUGUUUUAUACUUUCAAGUUUUGUAUCUGAUAUAAAUGUUGCCACAUUUUAGCAUAUUUCUUCCUGUAUGAACUCAACACAAUUCAGUCUGCUCAUAUCUGAUUAUUUGAAGCAGCUGUCAUAAAAUGUCUCGAUCUGUGUCAAUCUUAUCUAAAGUUGGAAUAUUAAGUUUCUCUUUUGCAUUCAACUUUUCUGGAUUACUGCAUGGGCCUGUUGCUUUUCAUGAGGCCCAGCUUACUGCAUAAGCAAAUACAGCCUUAAGAUUUUGUGCUCGGUUUUGUGAUUUAAUAGAUGUCCUUAAUACUUCCAACUUGAAACCCACAAAGUUGUUUACCAUUUGCGUAAUACUGAGUUGCUGCAUGAGAUGACACACAAAAUAGUUGUGAUUUAAACAUUGCUACUGUUUAUUUUUUAAAACUGUUUAAAAAUAAAUACUGCUAAUAAUGA
This is an RNA transcript of Ixodes scapularis (black-legged tick), 6598 nucleotides long. RefSeq lists it as uncharacterized. Lineage: Eukaryota; Metazoa; Arthropoda; Arachnida; Ixodida; Ixodidae. The record is from RefSeq and is a predicted model, not a curated record. The transcript is spliced from 2 exons.